RNAcentral lists this long non-coding RNA (492 nucleotides) under Mytilus galloprovincialis (Mediterranean mussel). Lineage: Eukaryota; Metazoa; Mollusca; Bivalvia; Mytilida; Mytilidae. The record is from RNAcentral.
CUUUGCUGAACAUUAUUGCUGUUUACAGUUUAUCUCUAUCUAUAAUAAUAUUCAAGAUAAUACCCCAAAACAGCAAAAAUUCCCUAAAAUUACCAAUUCAGGGGCAGCAACCCAAUAACGGGUUGUCGGAUUCAUCUGAAAAUUUGAGGGCAGACAGAUCUUGACCUGAUACACAAUUUUACCCCAUGUCAGAUUUGCUCUAAAUGCUUUGGUUUUUGAGUUAUAAGCCAAAAACUGCAUUUUACCCCUAUGUUCUAUUUUUAGCCAUGGCGGCCAUCUUGGUUGGUUGGCCGGGUCACGCCACACAUUUUUUAAACUAGAUACCCCAAUGAUGAUUGUGGCCAAGUUUGGUUUAAUUUGGCCCAGUAGUUUCAGAGGAGAAGAUUUUUGUAAAAGUUAACGACGACGGACGACGGACGACGACGACGGACGACGGACGCCAAGUGAUGGGAAAAGCUCACUUGGCCCUUCGGGCCAGGUGAGCUAAAAACG